CUUAAAGUUAGCUUUAGAUGUUUAAGGUUAGUGAAUUGCAUUGGUUUUGUUCAUUGUGUGUUUAGGUAUAGGUCAUCUUCUACACUUAGUUGCAUUAAUAUUAGGUUGGGUGUGAUACCCCGCUAGUAAUUAUAAAAGUUAAGUUAGAACUAUAUGGAUUUAAAGAUUUAAUGCAUGAGCUGUUUUGCUAGAUAGACAGAAUAGUUAAUGUUGGUUGCUAAAAAUGUUUAAAAAGUAGGGUGCUAGGAUUUGAUUAAAGUACUUAAUUUGUUUAUCAAAAAAGUAUCAAUUAAUGACCAUAGAAAUGGAUGGAUGUUUUGUAGCUAGUAUGAGUAUUGAAGUGUGUAAAUUCUGAUAGAAUAUCAAUAUCCCUUAUGAACACUUGAGUUUCAGCCAAUUAGGUGAUAAAAUUUUUAAGAUAGAAAUUUUGUUAAGUGAUGAUAAGCAAUAUGUGAUUUUUAGAAUUUAAUUAUUGAUUAUAAAGUUAAUAGAUAGAAAUUUUUACUGUAUGGAAAUUACAUUUAAUGGUAGUUUUGGCCAUUCAAGUGUUUAGCAAAAGAAGACCUAAGGAACUUUUGCUACAUUAAUUUAUUUCGAGGUUGAAGUUGUUUAGGUAUGAACAAUGUUACUGUUUGAGGUAAUUAGUAAGAAAUAUUACUAUUGGACAACAAUGGAAAUUUCAGCUUAAGUGUUUAAUAUCACUAAGGAUAACCAAACGCUAGAGAUUUGAUCAAUUCUUUAUCAAAGGUCAAAAGAUGUGAUUUGUAAACUGUCAAUAUUAGAGUACACAAAAGGCUUUGUAAGUAUGAAUUGAGGUAUACUAUAGUCGAAUGAUUUGAUUAACACCUUAGAAAUUUUGUAAGGAACUUGUUAUUGGUGUUUGGGAGCCUUCCAAAAUUGAGAAAAAAAUAUUUUAUGACAUGAUAAGAACGAGUAAAGAGCUCUAUUGACAAAAGAGAAAAUUUAGACAUGGAUACAUGGUGACACCUAGAUUUUUUUUAUACGAUUUAAAUUGCAAGAUUGUGAGGAAUUAUAGGAUUACGAUUAUUGAAGCGUUGGAAUCCCAAAUUGAUAUGUACACUUGAGGUAUGAAAACAUAGGUGGUAAAUUUUGGGAUAUUUGAAUAUUUAUGAUUUAGCUUGAUGGUGACAGUGUAAGAGUAUUAAAAAGACAUAAAGUUUCAAUUGAUUCCCCAUGUUAUUAGGAUGUGCUGCACUUAGACUUAGAUUGCAUUAGUCUCAUCUAUAUUUUCUCAUUUAAACUCAGGUUUAGAUGCUUUUAAGGUUGGUGAUUUGCAUGCUCAUUUUCUACACUUAGUUGCAUUGACUUAUGAUUGAGAGGUUACACUUUGUGUCGUACACUUAGGAUUAUCGUCCCUUAGUAUUCACAUUAAGUUGUGUCUCAUCAUUAAGGAUCUUCAAUCUUGUGUUAUUAUCAAACCUCUCUUGACAUGUUUACCAAGGUAAGAGAACUAAAGUAAAUAAUGCAAGGGAGUAAAAACAAAAAAACUUAACAAAAUCUUUUUUAGCAUGUAUACAGGUUGUUGUUUCUCUUGUUUGCUGCUUCAGAAUGUGAAGUUCAGAUUGUCAAGGCCUUUGAAACUUCAAAAUGAGAAAGAUGGCUCCAUUGUCUCAGUCUUUUAUGCAUCUCUCAUACACGAUUUUCAGAGCUUCCAUAAAGAGUAUUGAGAGACUAGUAACAAGAAAUACAACACAAGGUUCUUGAGUAUUGUUCCAAGAACUUGUUUGUCUGAAGAUUUUUGGAUUGGGAUUCAAGCCAUCAUGUUGCGACUACACAAUCAAAGUUCCAACUAAACACUAUUGGUGGUGAUCGAUAAGGAGUUUAUUCUCUAAAGAACGACCAACUGAGGAGUUAGAGUUGAAGUACGUGAGGAGCGAGUUAUCCUACAUAUUGUCUUGCCACAGAAACCUUCAAGAUGGCUUGACUGAUGACAUGGUUGGGCUGGCACAGCAACUUAGGGAGCGUAGUCUGAUGAUAAGCCAGUCCCUGCAAAACAUUGAAAAACUUCUUCAGUCAGUUAUGCUCAUCUUUCUUCCCGAUCGGAGAUGAUAUUGAAGACCACUCUGGAUGCGCAAGACUACCAUAUAUGUAUGUCAAAAUAGAGCGUUGUUACCGAUAAUGAAGAAAAUCUGGGAGAAUGUUUUGGACAUUUAGUUGGAAAUUUCAUGUUGUCAAAUCUUUUAUUUUAUUUUGAGAGUAGAACACUACAACUAGACACAGUAAACUGUAUUCUAAAAUAGUAUUCUUUUAUUUUA
Molecule: long non-coding RNA, 2276 nt
Organism: Alnus glutinosa
Lineage: Eukaryota; Viridiplantae; Streptophyta; Magnoliopsida; Fagales; Betulaceae
Exons: 3
Source: RefSeq, a predicted model, not a curated record